Molecule: ribosomal RNA, 300 nt
Filed under: uncultured bacterium
Lineage: Bacteria
Description: bacterial SSU rRNA
Rfam family: Bacterial small subunit ribosomal RNA
Source: RNAcentral
GCGUGUGUGAAGAAGGCCUGCGGGUUGUAAAGCACUUUCAAUUGCGAAGAAAAGCCUAGGGUUAAUACCCCUGGGUCUUGACGUUAGCUUUAGAAGAAGCACCGGCUAACUCCGUGCCAGCAGCCGCGGUAAUACGGAGGGUGCAAGCGUUAAUCGGAAUUACUGGGCGUAAAGCGUGCGUAGGCGGCCAAGUCAGUCAGAUGUGAAAGCCCUGGGCUCAACCUGGGAACUGCAUUUGAUACUGCUUGGCUAGAGUAUGGUAGAGGGAAGUGGAAUUCCGGGUGUAGCGGUGAAAUGCGU